UCAGACGCCGCAGCAACCAGAGACCCCGCGGCAGCAACAGAGAGCCAAAAGCGAAGAGGAGAGAAGGAGCGUCGGUCCUUCAUGUUGAUGUCUUCAGUACUGUGCUGACUAUGCUUUAUUAAAUACAUUUUUGAUCUUGGUAAGUCUCUUCUUUUCUUUUCUCUUCCCUUGCAUUUUUCUACCUUAAAUAUAUGCUUAAUAAGUCUUUUUGUGGAUUGAGAUCUCUAAACACAUGGUUGCCUUGCAUUUAUGUAUGGAAAGUUUUCAUCCCUUCUUUGUCAUUAAUUGUUGGUUUCUUUUUUUAGUCAGUUAAAGCAAAUAACUAUAAAAUAAAUGAUUGUCAUUUCAUAGCCAAAUAGUGAAAUAUCUUUAAUGACUUAACAUACUAUUGGUUAAUUUAUGUGUUCUGGACCAGUGCGAAUUUGGUAGUCAGUGUGAAAUAAAGCUGAUGUUGAAAAUGCCACCGGUAAUGGGUAAGAGAGGGGUUUGUUGUAAGUCGGCCAGCCAAAACUGGAAAAACAAUAGAUUAUCCAACAAUAUAUCUUGAAAAAAUAUUGAAUCAUGAUUUAAUUAUGAAAUACAAAUGUCGCAUCAUCCACAUUAGACUGGAUCAUACUUGGUGCUUUUUCUCUAACCUUUCUUUGUCUAUGCCUUUUAACUGCAGCAAAUUGAUGCCACAUACCAGCGUAUACAAAGCGAGGCAUGAGAUAGAAGAAGAGAGAUUAUGAUGUACAAAGGGAAAUGAGAGAUAGUAGCAGAGAGAAAUGAGUAUUUUCAACUUGAACUUUAAAGUUUGUAUGUAUCAGUUCUUUUUUAGACUUUAUUUCCUACUCCAAAAUUUCUAUUCGUCAACACCCUUUUUGAGUUUUGAAGAACACAGUUUAUUCCUGGACAAGGUACAUUUUUCUUAAAUGUCGGAGUAGCAUUAAUUCCAAAAACAGUGUUGUCUUUCGUUUGAAUAUAGAUGCUCGCUUUAAUUCUCUCGC
Molecule: long non-coding RNA, 986 nt
Filed under: Nicotiana benthamiana
Lineage: Eukaryota; Viridiplantae; Streptophyta; Magnoliopsida; Solanales; Solanaceae
Description: long non-coding RNA (NBEN_LNC021741)
Source: RNAcentral